This is a non-coding RNA of Euleptes europaea (tarantolino), 72 nucleotides long. The record is from the annotation of a RefSeq genome assembly. Lineage: Eukaryota; Metazoa; Chordata; Lepidosauria; Squamata; Sphaerodactylidae.
AGGGGUGUGGCUGAGUGGUAGAGCAUCUGCUUCGAAUGCAGAAGGUCCCAGGUUCAAUCCCCGGCAUCUCCA